Molecule: non-coding RNA, 2913 nt
Organism: Meleagris gallopavo (turkey)
Lineage: Eukaryota; Metazoa; Chordata; Aves; Galliformes; Phasianidae
Source: RefSeq, a predicted model, not a curated record
UUUAAAAGAGCCAUUGAUCUGGCUGCUAGAAUUUAAUUAGUUGGGAUUUUACGUCAGACAGCUGUAACUACCUAAAUUUUGCCAGUAGCGCUACAAGGUCCUAGCUCCAUCUAGCGUUCAUCUUUUAGAAGAAGUACGAACGAUCUCGAGAAAGUGCACAGAACUAACAAUUCUUGGUUACCAGCUUCAAACAUAGGAGAGCCCAUAACAACAGGAUAAUUCCAAGUUUGUCUUACCCGCGUAUUCUGAGGUGGAAGUGACUAACUUCUGAAAUGGUGGAUUCAAUAUGUGUAGUGAAAAUGCUGAGUCAUGACCUGAAGCAGUGAUUGAGCACCUGGUGGGAAGGCAGAGCCAACCUAGGGCAGCUCAGGUGCAAGCAAUGCACUGAAUGACUGGAAGGGCUGGAGCCAGCAUUCACCUCUUCUCAGACCUCAUUGAAGGGCAGUGGAGGUGAGGACAUCUCAUCUGGAGAUUUCUGCUAUACCUGAGGACCUUGCAAGCCUUCUAAAAGAAAUCUACAAGCCUGAACAUUUCACAUAAAUAGCCCUCUUCUGACCAGAGUCCUACUUAGUGUGGUUUUGGGAAGAAGGAAAUUCUGACAUGAGGUGGUGCAGUUUAGUCAGGAAUGUUUCAACAUAGAAGCAGCUGUCCUGCAGCUUUCUACAAGCCUUGAAUACCUCAAGAAGCAAAAUGAGGAACUUCUGCAGACUUGCUGAGGUGUCCUUCAAACUAAUUUGGACAAAAAUAAACACAAGAAUUUUCUGUCCUGCGUGCUUCAGACGUUAUUGGUCACUAACUGCCACAAAUGGGUGCUUUGUCAUUUUGGCUUCUUCAUGCAAAGAGGAUAAAAAAUGAGUGCUGUCUGUUGAAAACAUUCUAAAUAGCUUAAUAGCCAUUAUCCUAGGCAGGUACAUUUUACUCUCCAUUUUGUCUUGAUUCCAGAACAUGACUUUAUCUUUCACAUUUGUCAAAUACCUUUCCAGAUUUGCAGUCUCAAGAAAUGAAGGUGUCUUUCUGUACCCAGAAUAACUCCCACAAAUCUGUCUGAAAAAGUGUUUUAGAAAUCACCAUUAUAAAUCAUUAAAUACUUUUGCUAGAGGGAUGUAUGUAACCACCUAUGAAGUGAACGAUGUUUCUUUUUAGUGUCUGGUCUGAAGAGAUAGGAAUAUAUUGAUGCUGUUAAGUGAAGUUAUGAUCUUUAGUUACUAUUAUUUUUUCUGUAAUACAUGAAAAUAUAACCUGUUCCUAUGGAAUUGAAUGCAUAAUGUUCUAAUGUGGUAAAAAGUAGUUAAUUUCAGAUCAAAUAACUUUCUCAGAAUUUAACAUGGCAUGGUUGCCAAUAUGUGCAGUAGGUGUGUUCAUAGCUUUGAAGCUAAAAGUAUUUUAUGGACAUUAAUUGUGAAAUUGUGAAGAAUACGCAAUAACAAAUAAGGGAGGAAAAAUUAAUUGUAAUUCACCUUUUUCUGAGAUUGGAAAUCAUUCCUUCUAUUCUUCAUAAAUAUCUGGAAGAACAAGUUAUAGUCAUGGAAAUAUUUAUUAGAAUCUAAGGAUAUUAAUUACUUCAUUUUUUUAAAUUUAGAAGUUAGCCCCCAAGGCUUGACUUUGAACUCACAUUUUGAAAACUGGAACAUAAAAUCUGUAUUCCUAAUUUAAGGGACUUUGUAAAAGAUGCUAGUGUUCAAAUAAGAAGACAGUUACUGCCUUGAUAGAAGACUGCACAAUUCAGUUUUCUCUCUGAAGCUUACAGGAAUUAAAGCUGCAGUUCACAGAUAGCAACUACUUUUGAGAGAUUGGGUGCCUUGGAAGCUAUCUUAAGCAAGAAUUUCUCAUUUUAAGCCAUGUUAACCAGUUUCUGACACAAUGCACAUUCUCUAUGCUACUCCAUCAGAUCCUGCAGAGGGACUCUGUGUGAUUUUUCAUCGUAAAUUAAUUAACCUACUACUUACCCUAGGCAGGCACCAAAUAGCAAUGGGUCCAUGUUAGUUGAAACUGUAAAAUGGGUUGACUCACAGCUGCACCUGCAUAAGCAACUGUAUAUGUACACAUUUUAACAGAUGCCAAAGUGUUGAAGUUCUGUUUAAACAUGUGGGUCAUCCGAAUCACCUAGGAUUUCAUAUAGCAUAGAAAAAUGCCUUAAAAUGCGUACUACAUGCUGGAACAACAGAGGCAGCAGCAGCAGACUGCUUUGUGUACAUUAUUUACACCAAUCUAUUGGUGCAUUUAUGAUCUGCAUGCCAUUAGAGGUGUGGAUGAUUGCUUUACUGUAUGAUCAGAUGUUAUAUUUGAAGACCAUUAAUCAGGCAGAAAAAACAUCAGGCAAUUAAUUAAGUUAUAAUACCAGUCUUGUAAGAGGCUUCUGACUAUACUAAUUAAUCAAGUCAAGUUAGAAGGUUUUGUUCAAGGAGCUCUGAAUCACUUUCUGAUAGCCUUCAGAGAAAAGAGCUCUCAAUAUCGCAGAGAUGUAAACUAUUUGAAAUACACUCAUUUUGCACUCAUGUCUGCUGCUAUGAUGGAUUUGAUCUUAUAAAGGCAUGAUGAAGUCAAGAUGUUUUCUUGAAGGGCUGCUCUAAUGAGCUUCAGUUGUCUCAGAAGGAAUACCUUCUUUUUGGUGAGGUGGAGGAAAAUUGUUUUAAUCUUCAAAAUUCAACCAGACUGCCAUUUUGGUUGUUCAUUUUAGGAGAAUGUGGAGAGACUACGCUCUUAGGAAGAGCUCACUUUUAUUUUUUUAAUGCAACAAUGUUCAUGGCAGUAAGAGAGCCUAUGGGAGUUUUUCUGUAUGUUUUGCCAUAGUCACUGUCAAUAGCGAACAGUACCAAAUUUCCUCUUAGCUGAAGAUCCUCAGUGCUGUAGUAGCAUACUACAUAUUUUUCUCAUGAUAACAACCUUCACCUGGUGCUGAAAAUAAAAAGAACA